UGGCGGCAUGCCUUACACAUGCAAGUCGAACGCGAAAGUGGGGGCAACCCUGCGAGUAGAGUGGCGAACGGGUGAGUAACACAUCGGAACGUACCCAGGAGUGGGGGACAACCUCGAGAAAUCGAGGCUAAUACCGCAUACGUCCUGAGGGAGAAAGCGGGGGAUUCGCAAGGACCUCGCGCUCAUGGAGCGGCCGAUGUCGGAUUAGCUAGUUGGCGGGGUAAAAGCCCACCAAGGCUACGAUCCGUAGCUGGUUUGAGAGAACGACCAGCCACACUGGGACUGAGACACGGCCCAGACUCCUACGGGAGGCAGCAGUGGGGAAUUUUGGACAAUGGGGGCAACCCUGAUCCAGCCAUGCCGCGUGAGUGAAGAAGGCCUUCGGGUUGUAAAGCUCUUUCGGCCGGAACGAAAUCGCGUACGUGAAUAACGUGCGUGGAUGACGGUACUGGAAGAAGAAGCACCGGCUAACUACGUGCCAGCAGCCGCGGUAAUACGUAGGGUGCGAGCGUUAGUCGGAAUUACUGGGCGUAAAGCGUGCGCAGGCGGUUCUGCAAGUCAGGUGUGAAAUCCCCGGGCUUAACCUGGGAACUGCGUUUGAAACUACGGAGCUAGAGUACGGCAGAGGGGGGUGGAAUUCCACGUGUAGCAGUGAAAUGCGUAGAUAUGUGGAGGAACACCGAUGGCGAAGGCAGCCCCCUGGGCCGACACUGACGCUCAGGCA
RNAcentral lists this ribosomal RNA (724 nucleotides) under uncultured soil bacterium. Its description in RNAcentral is "bacterial SSU rRNA". It matches the Rfam family "Bacterial small subunit ribosomal RNA", at positions 37 to 753 of the family's 1533-position model. The record is from RNAcentral.